RNAcentral lists this ribosomal RNA (532 nucleotides) under Salmonella enterica subsp. enterica serovar Mbandaka. RNAcentral's name for it is "bacterial SSU rRNA". It matches the Rfam family "Bacterial small subunit ribosomal RNA", at positions 1013 to 1533 of the family's 1533-position model. The record is from RNAcentral. Lineage: Bacteria; Pseudomonadati; Pseudomonadota; Gammaproteobacteria; Enterobacterales; Enterobacteriaceae.
UGUGCCUUCGGGAACUGUGAGACAGGUGCUGCAUGGCUGUCGUCAGCUCGUGUUGUGAAAUGUUGGGUUAAGUCCCGCAACGAGCGCAACCCUUAUCCUUUGUUGCCAGCGAUUAGGUCGGGAACUCAAAGGAGACUGCCAGUGAUAAACUGGAGGAAGGUGGGGAUGACGUCAAGUCAUCAUGGCCCUUACGACCAGGGCUACACACGUGCUACAAUGGCGCAUACAAAGAGAAGCGACCUCGCGAGAGCAAGCGGACCUCAUAAAGUGCGUCGUAGUCCGGAUUGGAGUCUGCAACUCGACUCCAUGAAGUCGGAAUCGCUAGUAAUCGUGGAUCAGAAUGCCACGGUGAAUACGUUCCCGGGCCUUGUACACACCGCCCGUCACACCAUGGGAGUGGGUUGCAAAAGAAGUAGGUAGCUUAACCUUCGGGAGGGCGCUUACCACUUUGUGAUUCAUGACUGGGGUGAAGUCGUAACAAGGUAACCGUAGGGGAACCUGCGGUUGGAUCACCUCCUUACCUUAAAGAAGC